CUACGGGUUGCAGCAGUAAGGAAUAUUGCGCAAUGGAGGCAACUCUGACGCAGCCAUGCCGCGUGCAGGAAGAAGGCCUUAUGGGUCGUAAACUGCUUUUAUUUAGGAAUAAACCCCCGAACGUGUUCGGGGCUGAAGGUACUAAACGAAUAAGCACCGGCUAACUCCGUGCCAGCAGCCGCGGUAAUACGGAGGGUGCAAGCGUUAUCCGGAUUUGUUGGGUUUAAAGGGUGCGCAGGCGGGCUAUUAAGUCAGUGGUGAAAUCCCGGGGCUCAACUCCGGAACUGCCAUUGAUACUGAUAGUCUUGAGUUUGGUUGAAGUGGGCGGAAUGUAGCAUGUAGCGGUGAAAUGCAUAGAUAUGCUACAGAACACCAAUCGCGAAGGCAGCUCACUAAGCCAAAACUGACGCUCAUGCACGAAAGCGUGGGGAUCAAACAGGAUUAGAUACCCGGGUAGUC
This 459-nucleotide ribosomal RNA is filed under the name uncultured bacterium. RNAcentral describes it as "partial 16S ribosomal RNA". It matches the Rfam family "Bacterial small subunit ribosomal RNA", at positions 339 to 795 of the family's 1533-position model. The record is from RNAcentral.